RNAcentral lists this ribosomal RNA (497 nucleotides) under uncultured bacterium. RNAcentral describes it as "partial 16S ribosomal RNA". It matches the Rfam family "Bacterial small subunit ribosomal RNA", at positions 28 to 507 of the family's 1533-position model. The record is from RNAcentral.
GAUGAACGCUGGCGGCGUGCCUAAUACAUGCAAGUCGAGCGAACGGACGAGAAGCUUGCUUCUCUGAUGUUAGCGGCGGACGGGUGAGUAACACGUGGAUAACCUACCUAUAAGACUGGGAUAACUUCGGGAAACCGGAGCUAAUACCGGAUGAUAUUUUGAACCGCAUGGUUCAAAAGUGAAAGACGGUCUUGCUGUCACUUAUAGAUGGAUCCGCGCUGCAUUAGCUAGUUGGUAAGGUAACGGCUUACCAAGGCAACGAUGCAUAGCCGACCUGAGAGGGUGAUCGGCCACACGGGAAAUGAGACACGGUCCAGACUCCUAAGGGAGGCAGCAGUAGGGAAUCUUCCGCAAUGGGCGAAAGCCUGACGGAGCAACGCCGCGUGAGUGAUGAAGGUCUUCGGAUCGUAAAACUCUGUUAUUAGGGAAGAACAUAUGUGUAAGUAACUGUGCACAUCUUGACGGUACCUAAUCAGAAAGCCACGGCUAACUACGUG